Molecule: ribosomal RNA, 486 nt
Filed under: uncultured bacterium
Lineage: Bacteria
Description: partial 16S ribosomal RNA
Rfam family: Bacterial small subunit ribosomal RNA
Source: RNAcentral
AUUGAACGCUGGCGGCAUGCCUUACACAUGCAAGUCGAACGGCAGCACGGGUGCUUGCACCUGGUGGCGAGUGGCGAACGGGUGAGUAAUACAUCGGAACAUGUCCUGUAGUGGGGGAUAGCCCGGCGAAAGCCGGAUUAAUACCGCAUACGAUCCACGGAUGAAAGCGGGGGACCUUCGGGCCUCGCGCUAUAGGGUUGGCCGAUGGCUGAUUAGCUAGUUGGUGGGGUAAAGGCCUACCAAGGCGACGAUCAGUAGCUGGUCUGAGAGGACGACCAGCCACACUGGGACUGAGACACGACCCAGACUCCUACGGGAGGCAGCAGUGUGGAAUUUUGGACAAUGGGCGAAAGCCUGAUCCAGCAAUGCCGCGUGUGUGAAGAAGGCCUUCGGGUUGUAAAGCACUUUUGUCCGGAAAGAAAUCCUUGACUCUAAUACAGUCGGGGGAUGACGGUACCGGAAGAAUAAGCACCGGCUAACUACGUG